UACGGAGGGUGCGAGCGUUGUCCGGAAUCAUUGGGCGUAAAGGGCGCGUAGGCGGCCGAUCAAGUCAGGCGUGAAAUUCCCGGGCUCAACCUGGGGGCUGCGCUUGAGACUGGUUGGCUAGAGGCCGAGAGAGGGUGGUGGAAUUCCCAGUGUAGAGGUGAAAUUCGUAGAUAUUGGGAAGAACACCGGUGGCGAAGGCGGCCACCUGGCUCGGUACUGACGCUGAGGCGCGACAGCGUGGGGAGCAAACAGG
This 253-nucleotide ribosomal RNA is filed under the name uncultured bacterium. Its description in RNAcentral is "partial 16S ribosomal RNA". It matches the Rfam family "Bacterial small subunit ribosomal RNA", at positions 524 to 776 of the family's 1533-position model. The record is from RNAcentral.